Molecule: long non-coding RNA, 769 nt
Filed under: Piliocolobus tephrosceles (Ugandan red Colobus)
Lineage: Eukaryota; Metazoa; Chordata; Mammalia; Primates; Cercopithecidae
Description: lncRNA (ENSPTEG00000013292.1)
Source: RNAcentral
CAAUAUGUGCAGUCUUAUAAGUCUAAAUUUAAAUGGUUUUUAUAAUCUAUAACAUGUGUAGCUUGUUCAUUCUACUUUAUUUAAUUUUUAUAUAUAGAUAUAUCAAAAGAAAAUUCCGAUAUCGAAACAGAACUAAAUCUAAAUAAAACUGGCAGUGUACCUUUGAUAAACUCUAAAUCAAAUAAGAGCUUUAUUGACAGCCAUAAAAAGGCAUUAGAAAAUUUUCAAAAGGAUGAUGCAAAUUUUGAAUGUACAUAUAAUUGUAAAAGCGAAAAAGGACAAAAAAGUUCAAACUUGAGCACAAAAAUUAAUGAUUUAAAUAUUGAACAAUGUCAACUGUGUUUAAUGCCUAAUACGGAAUCGUUACAUGGAAAUUUUCCUCCCCUCUUUUAUAAACUAAGUUGUGGUAUGCUUAUAAAUUUAACGAUGUAUUUUCUCGCAAUUACAUACACAUUAAGAGUAAAAACAUUCUUGAUCUUUACCAAAUCUUAAUCAUAAUUUAAUCCACAUUUAAUCCGAUAUUAGUUUUAUCUAAACCCUAUUUGAACCCUAACUUAACCCUAACCCAACCAUAUUAAAUAACAUUUAUAUUUGUUUAUUUUGUUUGUUCAGAUCACGUUUUUCAUUUAAUGUGUAUCUAUGAAACUGUUAUACGAAGGGAAUGUAGAAAGGUAUUUAAAAAAAACAAAUUAUGAAAAUAGUAAUAAUAAUUAAAAAAAUUAAUGUUUUAAUUCUCCGCAUAUUAAUUAUAAGCAUUAAAUAAUUUUUU